AAAGGUUGCUGACCCCUGUCUUAGACCUUACCGCCCACAAGAGGUAGUAGCUCCUCCCAGAUCUCACUUGGGAUCUUUCCUUUCUCCUCCCAGCCUCUUACCCUGGGAGUCUGACAAUUCCCUGCCUCCCACCCAGAGUCUUCCAUCAACCAUCUGCCACCCCCAUGAGUAUACAAUGCCUGGACCUUAAUAAAGGCCCCAAGC
Podarcis lilfordi (Lilford's wall lizard) is the source of this 204-nucleotide non-coding RNA. Lineage: Eukaryota; Metazoa; Chordata; Lepidosauria; Squamata; Lacertidae. The record is from the annotation of a GenBank genome assembly.